AAUAAUUCAAUAUUACGUAUAAUACGUUCAGUAUAAGAUUCUAAACUGAUAAAAGAAGCAAAAUGUGUAAUAUAUUAAGUCCCAGUCGAUUUGACGUCAUUUUUGCGGGCAUCGGCACAAUAUUAAUAUAUAUCCUUUUAAUUUCAUUGAGAGCUUCCAAAGAGACCAUUACCACAUACAAUAAAGCGGAGAUUGGGAUAUAUUGCUUUGCAAUUUUGUUUGGAAUAUUGCUUCUGCUUGGGGCAAUCUAUAGCACGUUAUGUCUCUUGUGGACUUCGGUGGCUAUAGGGAUUCCGCUAAAUAUUGCAUUAACUAUCGUAUAUAUUAUGAUAGUGAUCGAUAGCGAGAAGUUGCUCUAUAUUCUCCACUUUAUAGUAGCGGCAAUGUUUUUGUUUACUAUUAUCACUGCAGUGAUAUAUGCAUUGAAAUUGAAAAGAUUAGAAAAUGAAAUGUAAACCGUAUGAUACUGAAAUACUCCAAUGUAUUUUAAUUUAAUUUGUAAAAUUUUCUGUGUCCUUUUCGAAACCAUUUUAGAAGCUAUACAAAUUUGUCUGUUGAUUGAUGAAAUGAACGGCUUUUCCAGUGGAUAUGAAUUUCGCCUGACUUAAAGGGCGGAGCAGUCAUCCCCCGUUUGUUUUCAUUGAGUAUGGAGCCUCACUCUGGAAGCGAAAUCAAUGACAGAAAUAUGAAAUGAAAAUAUAAUUGGUAAUUUAUUGUGUCUACAGAUCGUUGUUGCAAAAUGCAAGCAAGCCAAGUAAAAUAAUAAAUGCACAUAUUCGGGUGUGCCUGCCUGGAUAUGCAUAUCCAUA
This is a long non-coding RNA of Drosophila erecta, 809 nucleotides long. RefSeq lists it as uncharacterized. The record is from RefSeq and is a predicted model, not a curated record. Lineage: Eukaryota; Metazoa; Arthropoda; Insecta; Diptera; Drosophilidae. The transcript has 4 exons.